Long non-coding RNA from Ananas comosus (pineapple), 664 nucleotides. RefSeq lists it as uncharacterized. The transcript has 4 exons. NCBI's taxonomy places the organism in Eukaryota, Viridiplantae, Streptophyta, Magnoliopsida, Poales, Bromeliaceae. The record is from RefSeq and is a predicted model, not a curated record.
CAAGUGGGUCUCGACCUCAUCAAGGGCGACGCCGUAGGCGGCGGAGCCUUGUCUCCCCCCAACUCCACCGCCGCCCUGAGAAGCCAUUGUGUGAGCCCCCAUUCGCUGGCGCUUUUUCGAAAGGCACCCCAAGAAGUAAUAGUUAAUGCCCACAAGAUCAGUGGUCCAUCCAAGUAAUAUCAUUGUGACUCACUUGGGGUGAUGCCACGUUGGGUAUAAUCACAAGAUCCAGUGUCAAAAUCAAAUGUGUGCCCACAUUAUCUGAAGGAGAACCUUAGGUUUGAAAGAAAACAAAACAAAAAAAAAGCAUGAGAAAAGGCAAUGGUGUGAUCAUGUGUGUUGCAUCAUCAAGAUUAAAUUUUAAGCUGCUCUGUAAGGAUCGUCGGACCGGAUUCUGCUUCAAGUCUACAUGGAAUGAUCCCUCUCAAUUUUGAUUCUGUUUCAAUUUUGUCGCUUAUAAUCUACUUUUCUGCGACCGCGGCUGUACAAAAUGUUACAAACGAUCUCUCAAAGGAUCGAAACCAGUGAUGGAAAAUAAAAGAACAAGUACAUCCGAAAAUGUUCAUUCCCCGAAAAUCGGAAAAUUGUACUAAAAAACUAGUCAUUACAGAAUAAGUCCUUUGAAAGAUGCGUUUAUUUUUCUCCCUUUUUUGGGGUAAUGAAA